GCAGAUCCCAUGCUGGAGUUCAUCAUGCAGAUCAUCAUACCUGCAGCAAGGCCAGUAGAAACCUUUUGUUUUCUUAUAUGGAAAUGGAAUAUGGACACAGUUACUGAAACCAGCAUUACCUGUUUCUUUGGGACUGAAGGGUCUCCUGGUUCAGCCCUGCAUGAACACUUAGGAAAGACCGGUCUGUGUACUCUUCUGAAAGAUGACAGUGAGUGGGAGGAGAACCAAAGAGAAUCACCUUUCUCCAGCUUUUGCUGUGGGGCCAGGCACGCAAGUCCUCAAAGACCGCAAGACCAUGAUCAUCAGUAUCAGACCUGUGCAUUGCCAGAUUGCAGCAGGACAUGCCUGUUCCCCCUCAUCCUGUAUCUGCUGAGUGAACCAGAAUGUGUGUCAUGGCACUUAUUUCAGCUUUAUGCUUUCAUACCUGCUGGGGGGACAAACAAUUACUGAUCUGGAAUAAAGCAUCAACCCUUGGUCUGGCA
Molecule: long non-coding RNA, 482 nt
Organism: Cyanistes caeruleus (blue tit)
Lineage: Eukaryota; Metazoa; Chordata; Aves; Passeriformes; Paridae
Source: Ensembl